This is a long non-coding RNA of Fukomys damarensis (Damara mole-rat), 382 nucleotides long. RefSeq lists it as uncharacterized. The transcript is spliced from 3 exons. The record is from RefSeq and is a predicted model, not a curated record. NCBI's taxonomy places the organism in Eukaryota, Metazoa, Chordata, Mammalia, Rodentia, Bathyergidae.
CUGAGUCUUACACCCUGAGGUCUGAUCUUGGAUUUAGUGGGGCAUCCACCUAUUCUGCUCAGGAGUGUUGGCACUCUGACCACAUAGGGUCGACUGGAGCUGUCAUCUCUCCUCUCUGGCACCCAAGUAUCUGUGUCAGCUUGGUAGGUGCCACAAGCCAGACAUGGUCACCUGGAGGAGGGGGACAGCCAUACCCAGCAGGGGCUGAGGGCCCAGUGACAGCCCUGGAAAGGUAGCUGUUCAUGUCCACAGUCCAGCAUCUCUGCCCCAUGAACUCUGCAGACUUAGAGGAGAGCCUUGCCUGUGAGAGUUGGGCUGUGCCUGAUGGGACCCGCUGGAAAGAACCUCAAGAGGAGCCUUUCUCCCCCGCCCCGACUCUAUU